CCCUCCGAAAUCCCCAACUUUUCCCCUAAAACCCCUAAUUUCCCAGAUCCAAGAAAAAAAACCCAAAAGUUUAUUCAACUCUAUUUCUUCCCAACUGAAGCUCUUAAAACUCUCAAAUGGAUAAAAGGGGUCCAAAAUGAAAGAACCCAGAACUAGGAAACCAAGCCAGUUUUGAUCGUUUUGUGUGUUUUGAUUUGCUAGUUUCUCCCUGCUGUAUGAUUCAAAUAUUUGUCCUUUGGAUUUUGUGUUGAUUGACUAGGUUUCUACUUUUCUCCUUAAAAUCGGUAUCCUCAAAACACCUAAUUCUUACUGAGCAACCCCUAAAAUCAGUUCUUAAAUUUCAUCGCCUCUUUCUUCUUCUUCUUCUUCUUAUAUCUUUCUUUCCUUCUUGUUUAUAUAUAGAGAGCUGAAGCCAGUUCUGGGUGGCUUCUUCACUCUCUUUUCAAUGCCCCAAGAUCUUUUUUUUUUUUUUUUGUAAACAAACCAGCAAACCCAAACUCACAAGGGUUUUUUGUCUUUUCCUCCAACUUCAAAUUUCAACUCCAAAUAUUGCAGGCGUUCUGUGAUGCUUGUUCUUUGGUUUCUGUUCUUUUUAACUCCCUCGGUCUCGCCUUCAAAUUCGCGGAGAUGGAGUACGUUGCCAAGGCCAUUACUGCUCUGAAGAAAGGGGCAUACCUGCUGAAGUACGGAAGAAGAGGAAAACCAAAAUUUUGCCCCUUCCGCCUUUCAAAUAAAACCAACUUCCCUUCUUUCCCAUACUGCCAGAAAAUUUAGGGACUGCAUGACUUGUGGUUGAUUUCGAUAGGUGGUGGACUGGUGAGGAAUCUGUGAAUGUUCUCUUAGAAGCUGCAGGCCAAGGUCCAAUCUACAUCUGAUGGAGCUGAUUCCACUCUUUCAAACCCCCUGUGCGAGGAGUCUGCUCAAAAUUCUUCAAAAUACUCUAACAGACAGAGCAUACAUCCACCACCUGCCUUUGGCUCAUCGCCUAAUCUUGAAUCCCUUGCACUUGAAGCAAAUAAGUCUAAGGAUCAAGAUGGAGAUAGUUCUUUACUUGACAGUUCACAUCUUUCCCGGUAUUUAACUAUUUAUUUAUGCCUUAACAUGUCCUUAGGUGAGCGCUGAUUGUUUAUACAAAAAUUUUGGUUAAGUUAGUGGUAGUUUGGUUUUUUUGGACUUGAUCAUCAUAUACUUUUUGAAUAUUAUGUAUUGGAUCUUUAAAUUAUUUAGGAGUGCAUUAACUGAUAAGGUCCUGUCAAAGUUCAACUUUCUUACCUCAGAGCAAUGCUUCACCACCAUCUUUAGUUGACUUCAGUUUUAGGCCCAUGCAUGAAGUUACAUUUUCAACAGAAGACAAACCAAAACUUCUUAGUCAGGUUUGAUUGUGGCAUGUUUAUGUAUUCUAUAUAUCAACUUCUAUAGCAGAGGCUUAAGUCUUUGUUUUGAGCAGGAACGCAUGCCCUAUUUUCGUUUAAGGGACCGCCAAGGAAAUUCUGAAACUGAAAGCUGAUUGAUCGGAUGUGUAUGCCGGCUUUCAUCAACUACAUUCGAAGGCCUUAAUAGGAAUUGAAAUGGUGUGCAAAGAGAUUGCUUCUUUUGAUCUGAUUUUUCGAUAUAAAUACUGGACAAAGUAUGGAUAUUUUACUGCUGUUAGUAAAAUAGGAUUCUCUUCUUAGAAUAUUAGUUUCUUCACUUGUAUUAGACUCAACAAUGGCUUGCAUUGCAUUGGUGUUGAUUUUACCAAAAAUUCGAGGUUUACAAUUAACUAUUUUUAUUAAUUA
This is an RNA transcript of Gossypium raimondii (Peruvian cotton), 1778 nucleotides long. It is a transcript of the gene named serine/threonine-protein kinase STY46, with no coding region annotated. The record is from RefSeq and is a predicted model, not a curated record. The transcript has 8 exons. Lineage: Eukaryota; Viridiplantae; Streptophyta; Magnoliopsida; Malvales; Malvaceae.